Long non-coding RNA from Oncorhynchus kisutch (coho salmon), 683 nucleotides. RefSeq lists it as uncharacterized. Lineage: Eukaryota; Metazoa; Chordata; Actinopteri; Salmoniformes; Salmonidae. The transcript is spliced from 4 exons. The record is from RefSeq and is a predicted model, not a curated record.
UACUACAUGCAGAUAUGUGGAUCACGUCAUUGCUCUCUCGAUUAAUCCCGCAAGUGUAGGCGUGUUUUGCAUCAGCUGGAAGUUGAUUGCCUUCGAUUUGGAACCAGGCUGCAUCCUGGGUUUGAACCAGGUGCCCAUUUCAAAGCCCACUGCGAAGUCUGCUCAAAACAAAACUGACGUCCCUGGAGGCCAUUGUGACAUCCAUUGUGUGGCAACACAGCUUUGGAAGCCAGGCGGAGUGUCAGUGAGAGGAGCUGAAGAGAGAGAACGCAGGUAUCUUCACAGCACCAGUGAGAGGAGUCUACUACAUCAGAUUCACUGCCAUGGAUUACCUCACAUCACAUUCAUGUGUGUAUAUCUUUACCACAAUUACAAGAGAGUUCUGUUAAAUAACUAAUAUGGUACCCAUGGAGAUCUUCAGUACAGGUCUAAUGCAUUGACUCUAGAGCUGGACGAGGGUGAUGUGAUCUACAUGCGUCUCCCCUCAGGCAGGAGGCUCUUUGAUAAUUCUAAUAACUACACCUUCAGUGGCUUCCUGCUCUUCCCUAUGUGAAGGGAGCACUGUCAAUUAUGUAAUGAUUUCUGAUGUGAACAGUUCGGAUGAAUCAAUAAAGAGCAUCGUAAAAAAAUAAAAGCCAGACAAUUAUUUUGUUUACAUUUUUAUUUCAAUGUUUUUUUGUAAU